GUAGGUGGGCAAGCGUUGUCCGGAAUUAUUGGGCGUAAAGCGCGCGCAGGGCGGUCCUUUAAGUCUGAUGUGAAAGCCCACGGCUCAACCGUGGAGGGUCAUUGGAAACUGGGGGACUUGAGUACAGAAGAGGAAAGCGGAAUUCCAAGUGUAGCGGUGAAAUGCGUAGAGAUUUGGAGGAACACCAGUGGCGAAGGCGGCUUUCUGGUCUGUAACUGACGCUGAGGCGCGAAAGCGGUGGGGAGCAAACAGGAUUAGAUACCCUGGUAGUCCACGCCGUAAACGAUGAGUGCUAAGUGUUAGGGGGUUUCCGCCCCUUAGUGCUGCAGCUAACGCAUUAAGCACUCCGCCUGGGGAGUACGGCCGCAAGGCUG
This 374-nucleotide ribosomal RNA is filed under the name uncultured organism. Its description in RNAcentral is "partial 16S ribosomal RNA". It matches the Rfam family "Bacterial small subunit ribosomal RNA", at positions 526 to 896 of the family's 1533-position model. The record is from RNAcentral.